UACGGAGGGGGCUAGCGUUGUUCGGAAUUACUGGGCGUAAAGGGCGCGUAGGCGGUUUGGCAAGGCAGGUGUGAAAGCCCGGGGCUCAACUCCGGAGGUGCGCCUGCGACUGCUAGACUCGAGGACGAGAGAGGGCGGUGGAAUUCCCAGUGUAGAGGUGAAAUUCGUAGAUAUUGGGAAGAACACCAGUGGCGAAGGCGGCCGCCUGGCUCGUAUCUGACGCUGAGGCGCGAAAGCGUGGGGAGCAAACAGG
RNAcentral lists this ribosomal RNA (253 nucleotides) under uncultured bacterium. RNAcentral's name for it is "partial 16S ribosomal RNA". It matches the Rfam family "Bacterial small subunit ribosomal RNA", at positions 524 to 776 of the family's 1533-position model. The record is from RNAcentral.